UACGGAGGGUCCAAGCGUUAUCCGGAAUCAUUGGGUUUAAAGGGUUCGCAGGCGGUUUAUUAAGUCAGUGGUGAAAUCCCAUAGCUCAACUAUGGAACUGCCAUUGAUACUGAUAAACUUGAAUGUAGUUGGAGUAGGCGGAAUGUGUAGUGUAGCGGUGAAAUGCUUAGAUAUUACACAGAACACCGAUAGCGAAGGCAGCUUACUAAACUAUAAUUGACGCUCAUGAACGAAAGCGUGGGGAGCGAACAGG
Molecule: non-coding RNA, 253 nt
Filed under: uncultured bacterium
Lineage: Bacteria
Also listed under: 1 other name
Description: partial 16S ribosomal RNA
Rfam family: Bacterial small subunit ribosomal RNA
Source: RNAcentral